RNAcentral lists this ribosomal RNA (609 nucleotides) under Triticum aestivum (bread wheat). RNAcentral's name for it is "partial small subunit ribosomal RNA". Lineage: Eukaryota; Viridiplantae; Streptophyta; Magnoliopsida; Poales; Poaceae. The record is from RNAcentral.
AUGUCCUGGAACGUUAGGGGCCUAAAUGCGCCGGCCAAGCGUGAGGCCAUUUGAGAAGCUGCUGCUGCUCACAAGACAGCCAUUCUGACGCUGUAAGAAACAAAGAUAGAUGUUUGGUCUUCAGAAACCGCGCGUGAGGUAGGGGGACAGCUCCUGCAGGGCUGUGUGGUUCUUUCGGCCCUGGGGAUGAGGGGUGGCGCUGCAAUCUUCUAGAACAAAGAAGUAGUCUCCAUUGACUCACACUCCAUAGGUAGAUUCACCAUCAUGAUUAAGGUUACUGAACUUAGGAGCAAUGUCCAGUACUGGUUGACAACGGCAUACGGGCCAAUUGAGGCAGCCAUCAGAGAGGAGUUUUUUCUUGAGAUGGCCAACAUUGCACCACCUGCGGGUGAGCCGUGGGUGAUCACAGGAGAUUUCAACAUGAUUUAUGAAGCUAGAGACAAGAGAAAUUCGAAUUUGAAAAGGAGGCUUCUGGGCAGAUUUAGGAAGGCUUUGGAUGUAGCCGGUUUAAAAGAAAUCAAAUGCCACAACAGAAGGUUCACUUGGAGCAAUGAAAGAGAAAACCCAACCUUUUGUAGCAUCGAUAAGUUCUUCUGUAAUGUAGACUGA